This 248-nucleotide long non-coding RNA is filed under the name Capsicum annuum. Its description in RNAcentral is "long non-coding RNA (CANN_LNC002566)". Lineage: Eukaryota; Viridiplantae; Streptophyta; Magnoliopsida; Solanales; Solanaceae. The record is from RNAcentral.
GUUUUGGAGUCAUCAAUACCAUAAUAAUGAAGUAGGAACUUAUUGGUAUAUCAAUGAAAUGUUUUGGAGUCAUUAAUAGCACAUGGAUCUUGUUUGAGUAAUCGGAUACCUUCUGACAUUCAUUAGUGCAAUAAACAUGUAAGAUUUGGAAAACAAGUAAGUAUUGGAAUGUCUUGACAUCUUGUAGGGUGGAAACAAGUUCAUUGGUAACGUAGGACAUCAUACAAAACCAUUAUGGAUCACAUGUU